Non-coding RNA from Acanthosepion pharaonis, 103 nucleotides. NCBI's taxonomy places the organism in Eukaryota, Metazoa, Mollusca, Cephalopoda, Sepiida, Sepiidae. The record is from the annotation of a GenBank genome assembly.
UAGCAGUGAAACACUGGUUCCCAUACAAUCAUUGAAGUUAAGCAACAUCAAGCCUAAUCAGUACAUAAAUGGGUGACUGCUGGGGAAUACCAAGUGCUGUAAG